UUUCCUGGCCUGCUACAGGCCAGGCAGGCAGUGAAUUUAUGGGAAGCUGGAGAGUGCCUGGAGGGUGUCACACUAGCAAAGCUGGAGCUCCCUUAAGUAUUCAGAUGGAUCUGUGAUCUCCCUCCAGCCCAUCCGGAGGGAGUCUGUCCCAUUUUUCCUGAUUCCUUGGCCACAGAACGCUCCUUGGCUUCCCUUGCUUUCCUGAGAUGGUACAGCUGUCAAUUUCUCGGAGAUUUAAAGGCCUCCUAAGAAUAUACCACCACCAGGGGAAGACUAGAACUACAAAGCUUGGCCUGGUUCUGGAAGGAGUCUGAAGUCAUUGAAGAAGCCCAGCUUCCUCCUCCUCCGCCAUGACAGAACCAGCUCCAUCUCGGGGCACCGUGUGGAUCCUUUUGCCUCUGUAACGCCCACUCUAGCUUCUGCUGCCUUGGAUAAAUGAACCCGUCAGCAGCUUGCCAGCUGCCUCCACUCUUUGGGAAAACAAGGAAAACCACGCUGACAUUCUCUUCCUUCAUCCCCUCAUCACCCCUGGACCUCCCGAAACCAAGAUAAGGACCCUCCUUACUUGUGCAUUCGGGGCUCUCACAGUGAUUGUCUAUUCGGAUUCCUACUUUAGCAGUGCCUGGCCCAUUAUGCCUAGUUAAUACAUGUUUUUCCAUUCAUUUGUCCCAAUCAAUUGCACGUCAUGGUGUGAGAAACAGA
Molecule: non-coding RNA, 702 nt
Organism: Monodelphis domestica (gray short-tailed opossum)
Lineage: Eukaryota; Metazoa; Chordata; Mammalia; Didelphimorphia; Didelphidae
Source: RefSeq, a predicted model, not a curated record